Molecule: non-coding RNA, 181 nt
Filed under: Clostridiales bacterium
Lineage: Bacteria; Bacillati; Bacillota; Clostridia; Eubacteriales
Description: 6S RNA
Rfam family: 6S / SsrS RNA
About the family: E. coli 6S RNA was the first non coding RNA to be sequenced, but its function was unknown until recently. It consists of 184 nucleotides that fold into an extended hairpin structure with a large single-stranded internal bulge.
Source: RNAcentral
AAACCCCUACUGUGCCCGUGUUUAAGUGGUUAUGUUUUGAGCCAACACAUAUAGAAAGGGAAUCCGGACUCUAUAUGCGGCAUAUAUGCCUUGGCAACAAGGAAAUAUAAAGCAUGUAGGAGGAUACCCACCUGCCGAGAGCAGGUUCAAAACAACCAUUAAACGACAUAGUGGGGGGAAA